UGGUGUGUGUAACUUCUAUGUUACAGGGGUGUCGGUUGUAGCCUUGUUGGUAUAAGGACAUAGGCAGACAAGGUUCUUUAGGGGAUCAAAUAUCUUUUAUUAGACCAAC
Long non-coding RNA from Gavialis gangeticus (Gharial), 109 nucleotides. RefSeq lists it as uncharacterized. The transcript has 3 exons. The record is from RefSeq and is a predicted model, not a curated record. Lineage: Eukaryota; Metazoa; Chordata; Crocodylia; Gavialidae.